UGUUGGUCCAAAGGUAAUGAGUUAUCUUAAUUAGUUGUUCACAGUCAGUUACAGAUCAAACACCUUGUUCUGUUCUUCCCCUUCUUCUCAUUACUGCACUUAGCUAGUCUUAA
Molecule: unclassified non-coding RNA, 113 nt
Organism: Otolemur garnettii (small-eared galago)
Lineage: Eukaryota; Metazoa; Chordata; Mammalia; Primates; Galagidae
Rfam family: Y RNA
About the family: Y RNAs are components of the Ro ribonucleoprotein particle (Ro RNP), in association with Ro60 and La proteins. The Y RNAs and Ro60 and La proteins are well conserved, but the function of the Ro RNP is not known.
Source: Ensembl